AGGUUAAGUUAUAAAGGGCGCACGGUGGAUGCCUAGGCACUAGGAGCCGAUGAAGGACGUAACUAACAACGAUAUGCCUCGGGGAGCUGUAAGUAAGCUUUGAUCCGGGGAUUUCCGAAUGGGGGAACCCAAUCAUCGUAAUGGAUGAUUACUUGUAUGUGAAUACAUAGCAUAUUAAGAGGAAGACGCAAUGAACUGAAACAUCUAAGUAAUUGCAGGAAGAGAAAGAAAAUUUCGAUUCCUGAGUAGCGGCGAGCGAAACGGAAGAGCCCCAAACCAAAGAGCUUGCUCUUUGGGGUUGUAGGACUGACGAUAUGAGAAAAAAAGUAAGUAUAAGCUGAACAACUUGGAAAAGUUGGCCAAAGAGAGUGAAAGCCUCGUAAGCGAAAUACGAACUACUCUAGUCGGGAUCCUGAGUACGGCGGAACACGAGAAAUUCCGUCGGAAUCUGGGAGGACCAUCUCCCAAGGCUAAAUACUCCCUAGUGACCGAUAGUGAAACCAGUACCGUGAGGGAAAGGUGAAAAGAACCCCGGAAGGGAGUGAAAUAGAUCCUGAAACCGUGUGCCUACAAGUAGUCAAAGCCCGUUAAGGGGUGAUGGCGUGCCUUUUGUAGAAUGAACCGGCGAGUUACGUUUGCAUGCAAGGUUUAAGCAGAAAAUGCGGAGCCGUAGCGAAAGCGAGUCUGAAUAGGGCGACUAAGUAUGUAGACGUAGACCCGAAACCAAGUGACCUACCCAUGUCCAGGUUGAAGGUGCGGUAAAACGCACUGGAGGACCGAACUCAUGUAUGUUGAAAAAUGCUGAGAUGAGGUGUGGGUAGCGGUGAAAUUCCAAACGAACUUGGAGAUAGCUGGUUUCUCUCCGAAAUAGCUUUAGGGUUAGCCUCGGGGAAUAGGAUCAUGGAGGUAGAGCACUGUUUGGACUAGGGGCCCGUCUUGGGUUACUGAAUUCAGAUAAACUCCGAAUACCAUUGAUCUAUACCCGGGAGUCAGACGAUGAGUGAUAAGAUCCACCGUCGAAAGGGAAACAGCCCAGAUCACCAGUUAAGGUCCCAAAAUUCAUGCUAAGUGGAAAAGGAUGUGGAAACGCAUAGACAACUAGGAUGUUGGCUUAGAAGCAGCCAUUCAUUCAAAGAGUGCGUAAUAGCUCACUAGUCGAGUGAUUCUGCGCCGAAAAUGUACCGGGGCUAAGCAUGAUACCGAAACUGUGGAUGCAUCGUAAGAUGCGUGGUAGGAGAGCGUUGUAAGAGCAUUGAAGCUGUACCGUAAGGAGCAGUGGAGUUCUUAGAAGUGAGAAUGCCGGUAUGAGUAGCGAAAGAUCAGUGAGAAUCUGAUCGGCCGAAAGACUAAGGUUUCCUGGGGAAGGCUCGUCCUCCCAGGGUUAGUCGGGGCCUAAGAUGAGACCGAGAGGUGUAAUCGAUGGAUAACGGGUUGAUAUUCCCGUACUAGUUUAUUUUGUUUGAACGAUGGAAGGACGCAGGAGGAUGAUGUGUGCACACGGCUGGAAAAGUGUGUCCAAUCAGAAAGUCUUGGUAAGAGUCAAAUGCUUUUACCUUUAAGGACAAUCUGUGAUGGGGAGCGAAAUUUAAGUAGCGAAGCACAGUAACUCACACUGCCAAGAAAAAUUCCUAGUUAGAAAUAAACUACCCGUACCGCAAACCGACACAGGUAGUCGAGGAGAGAAUCCUAAGGUCAGCGAGUGAACUCUCGUUAAGGAACUCGGCAAAAUGACCCCGUAACUUCGGGAGAAGGGGUGCUGGUGUAACAGCCAGCCGCAGUGAAUAGGCCCAAACAACUGUUUAUCAAAAACACAGGUCUAUGCUAAAUCGUAAGAUGACGUAUAUGGGCUGACGCCUGCCCGGUGCUGGAAGGUUAAGAGGAUCAGUUAGCGUAAGCGAAGCUGAGAAUUGAAGCCCCAGUAAACGGCGGCCGUAACUAUAACGGUCCUAAGGUAGCGAAAUUCCUUGUCGGGUAAGUUCCGACCCGCACGAAAGGCGUAAUGAUUUGGGCACUGUCUCAACGAGAGACUCGGUGAAAUUAUAAUACCCGUGAAGAUGCGGGUUACCCGCGACAGGACGGAAAGACCCCAUGGAGCUUUACUGUAGCUUGAUAUUGAGUUUUUGUGUGACAUGUACAGGAUAGGUAGGAGCCGUUGAAAUCGGAACGCUAGUUUCGAUUGAGGCAUUGGUGGGAUACUACCCUUGUUAUAUGAAAACUCUAACCUGCACCAUUAAUCGUGGUGAGGGACAGUGUCUGGUGGGCAGUUUGACUGGGGCGGUCGCCUCCUAAAAUGUAACGGAGGCGCUCAAAGGUUCUCUCAGAAUGGUUGGAAAUCAUUCGCAGAGUGUAAAGGCACAAGAGAGCUUGACUGCGAGACUGACAAGUCGAGCAGGUACGAAAGUAGGACUUAGUGAUCCGGUGGUUCCAUAUGGAAGGGCCAUCGCUCAACGGAUAAAAGCUACCCUGGGGAUAACAGGCUUAUCUCCCCCAAGAGUUCACAUCGACGGGGAGGUUUGGCACCUCGAUGUCGGCUCAUCGCAUCCUGGGGCUGUAGUCGGUCCCAAGGGUUGGGCUGUUCGCCCAUUAAAGCGGUACGCGAGCUGGGUUCAGAACGUCGUGAGACAGUUCGGUCCCUAUCCGUCGCGGGCGUAGGAAAUUUGAGAGGAGCUGUCCUUAGUACGAGAGGACCGGGAUGGACAUACCUCUGGUGUACCAGUUGUGCCGCCAGGCGCAUCGCUGGGUAGCUACGUAUGGAAGGGAUAAACGCUGAAAGCAUCUAAGUGUGAAGCCCCCCUCGAGAUGAGAUUUCCCAUUCCGUAAGGAAGUAAGAUCCGUUAGAGAUUAUGACGUAGAUAGGCUGCGGGUGGAAGUAUAGCGAUAUACGGAGCUGAGCAGUACUAAUAGAUCGAGGACUUAACCGAG
This 2922-nucleotide ribosomal RNA is filed under the name Companilactobacillus allii. RNAcentral describes it as "bacterial LSU rRNA". It matches the Rfam family "Bacterial large subunit ribosomal RNA". The record is from RNAcentral. Lineage: Bacteria; Bacillati; Bacillota; Bacilli; Lactobacillales; Lactobacillaceae.